RNAcentral lists this long non-coding RNA (795 nucleotides) under Fukomys damarensis (Damara mole-rat). RNAcentral's name for it is "lncRNA (ENSFDAG00000023207.1)". The record is from RNAcentral. Lineage: Eukaryota; Metazoa; Chordata; Mammalia; Rodentia; Bathyergidae.
AUGUGGUACAGAGCUGACAAAAGGAGAGGAUCAAUCAAAGAGUUUGAGAAAGGAAAGGUACAGGACAGAGCUAGGACUAGAACUCCUGGCAGUCCCUUUCCUGGACUUCUGGUCCUCAGUUCCCUAAUAUUGGGAGUGUUCAUGGGACAUCAAAGACAAGGGCUGAAUCUUUGUGAUUGGCUCUCGACAGCAUCAUUUGGUCACCUGAGUUGGUGCUUCACCGUCUUUGUGGCUAAAAACUAGAGAACAACCUCAUUUCCCUCCCUUUCACUUUUGGGGCUGGAGUCACACCUCAGUCUUUUCUCAAGACACAUCUCAGAGGACGGACACCAGAGGAAGGUUGCCUUUUAUCCACUGCUAAAGAGAAAUAUCAAACAGUUCAAAUCACUGGAUAGGUAAAGAAAAAUAAAGAGGAAAUCUAAGCAUCUCUCCAGCGCUCUGAGGCUGGAGUCAGGACGGGAAGUUGUGCAGGCAGCAGACAUGGCUGUGAGCUGGAACAGAAGGCCUGUGUGAGCGCAAGGGCCAAAUACUGCAUCUCAUCGAGCAAGUUUAAUAGGCUCGGGGGGCCUCGCAUUGAAGUUGGAACACAUCUUAAAAAGGGAGAGAAAUAAAACUCUGAUCCACUGUGUAGCGGGGAUUAUUCUUUGCUUCAAGUUUUAUUUGAAAGAACUGAAAGACAAGGUCCAGAAACCCUGGACUCUGACUUGGUGAAAAAUAAUCAAACAAAGCAUUUAUUUUCAGUCACUUCAAAGGACUUCUAUGAUGCUGAGGUGAGAAAGAGGCCGGAAAGCAAGG